RNAcentral lists this ribosomal RNA (255 nucleotides) under uncultured bacterium. RNAcentral's name for it is "partial 16S ribosomal RNA". It matches the Rfam family "Bacterial small subunit ribosomal RNA", at positions 524 to 776 of the family's 1533-position model. The record is from RNAcentral.
UGCAGAGGGUGCAAGCGUUGUUCGGAAUCAUUGGGCGUAAAGGGCGCGUAGGCGGUUGUGCAAGUCAAAUGUGAAAGCCCAGGGCUCAACCUUGGAAGUGCAUCUGAAACUGCGCAACUAGAGUCUCGGAGAGGGUGGUAGAAUUCCCAGUGUAGAGGUGAAAUUCGUAGAUAUUGGGAGGAAUACCGGUGGCGAAGGCGACCGCCUGGACGAAGACGUGACGCUGAGGCGGCGAGAGCGUGGGGAGCAAACAGG